CAAGUUUGACCUAUUUUGCUACAGAAUACGACAAAAAGACCGAUAACAACAGAUGUGUAACGUUAUAUUCUCUGUAAAAACCAAUGGGAAACGCUAAGCUAACUCAAAAGCUGUAGUCCUAAAACUACUGAAAUCAGUUAACUGUCAUUUCUGGUGAUAAUCCAAAGUCUAUUUUUAAAAUUCCUAAAGGCUUUUUGUCGAGGGAACUCGGGCAAUGCUAAUUUCCAGGAGUUUCAGUGGAUGAAUACAAGAAUAAAAACAAUGGGUACUUACAAGUCAAAACAUUUAAAAAAGGAGGAAAAUGGUACCACAAAAGACACAGUGGCUAAAAAUGACUUUAACCAUGGCGAUGCAAGUGAUUUAACUGGAAACCUCAAUAAAACUGGCAACACUAGUCAAGGACUAGGCUCUGCUCCACGUCUCAGUCACCAAAUGCAACCUGACGGUGGCAAUGAGGAACUGCUCACAAGGAUUCACCAAGCUCCUAGUAAAGUGCUAGUAAAGAUGCCAGGAGAUGAUGAUGAAAGCUCCCAGCUAACAGCUGAAACCACUGUCACCACAGUGCAAGAGGGUUCACAGGAGCAAGACUGCACUGCCAUGGAAGAAAACACAACCAAGAUACACAAUAAGGCAUAUCAUACACCUCAACAUAACAAAGUUGACAAUGACACCAAUGGGAACACGUCAUCUGGCAUACAAACAGUCAGUAUGAAACCAGCAUUAGACAAAGGGAGGCCUUCAGCUGACCCAAACAAUGCUGCCAAUAACCCAACAGUAGCAUCUGCAGAUUCAAGUGUCAAGUCAAAACUCCAGCACAAACUUAAUGUUACUUUAAUUCUACAUACUGCCGUUAAGCCUAAGGAAAAGAGCAAACUCAAAGGAAUGGAACAAAACCAUCCUAAUAAGAACGCAGGAAACAUCACUGAGAAAGAGGAUAAGAAUGGAAAGAAUGGCCAGGAUGAAAAACAAGAGCCAAACAUCCCCCCUGCAGUUCCUCCGGAACACACUGAGGGACGUUGGCACCCAUUUACAGUGAACCAGUCCUGUUCCGUCAAGGUGCUCUGUAAACACAACCCAGGGAAAGAUUUACCACCAAACAUCCAAAAGUGGUCUGACAAAUGUCAAAAAUGAAUGUCUGGGCCUCUUCUGGACAACCGAAGAUUUGAAGCUUUGUUUGCUUCGAGAGAGAAGCAAAGGAGGGAGGAGAUUCUCACCAAUGAGAGAAGACAUUAAAAUACAUCUUACAUUAAUGAUAUGCAUUUAAAAAAAUAGUCAAUUUCCGGUUAAUUACUUUCUUCCAUGAAAAGUUAGGUUAAGUAAGUUAGUUAAAGUAUAAAAUAGAUGACAACACAGCCAUUCAAAAAGUUUUUUUUCUGAAGCAUUUAUUGCAGACAAAUAUUUGCAUUGUAAGAUCAACUGGAUUACAAACCAUCUAGGGAGGAAGAGGCAUUACCAUUUAGAAAACACUCAAACUUCAAUGGCAAUUCUCUCUGUUGCUAGGAUACAAGGCAAGGGCAAUACAUUUCUGUGGGCUCUACUAAGGAGAAAAUGAACUUUGUGUACAAAAAGGGUUUGCUUGAAUUUGGGUACAAAUGUUGAGUUCUGUUGAUAGUUUUGUGUGGACACUGAAAGGCAAAGCCACAGGGUGGUGACAGUAAUUAACUUUCUUAUACCCGGAAAAACAGCAGAGACCCAGGGGUAUCGUAUUCAGUAAUUGGACUUGAUGUUCUUGUUUUUUUCAAUCACCAGCUGGGAAUGCCAUAAAAUUGUAAUGUUUGACAAAUUACAUCUUGUAUAAAAUAACAUUUAAACCCUUGAAUGUCUUCAAUAAACAGGUAGCUGAGUAGCAACA
Acanthopagrus latus (yellowfin seabream) is the source of this 1852-nucleotide RNA transcript. RefSeq lists it as uncharacterized. The record is from RefSeq and is a predicted model, not a curated record. Lineage: Eukaryota; Metazoa; Chordata; Actinopteri; Spariformes; Sparidae. The transcript is spliced from 4 exons.